GAUCCUGGCUCAGGAUGAACGCUGGCGGCGUGCUUAACACAUGCAAGUCGAACGAAGCACUUUAAUUGAUUUCUUUCGGAAUGAAGUUUUUGUGACUGAGUGGCGGACGGGUGAGUAACGCGUGGGUAACCUGCCUCAUACAGGGGGAUAACAGUUGGAAACGACUGCUAAUACCGCAUAAGCGCACAGGAUUGCAUGAUCCAGUGUGAAAAACUCCGGUGGUAUGAGAUGGACCCGCGU
This 240-nucleotide ribosomal RNA is filed under the name uncultured bacterium. Its description in RNAcentral is "partial 16S ribosomal RNA". It matches the Rfam family "Bacterial small subunit ribosomal RNA", at positions 15 to 236 of the family's 1533-position model. The record is from RNAcentral.